RNAcentral lists this long non-coding RNA (4346 nucleotides) under Equus asinus (donkey). RNAcentral's name for it is "lncRNA (ENSEASG00005031383.1)". Lineage: Eukaryota; Metazoa; Chordata; Mammalia; Perissodactyla; Equidae. The record is from RNAcentral.
UGGGCCUUGAGUCUCUGUCCCCGCCGCCCUCCAAGGCCACUUGGAUCCUCCGGGACCCAGCAGGAAGGAAGCCUUUGCUGGCCUCUGGCUUCAGCGUCCAGGACACUUCCCGCGCCCCCUCCUGCCUGAGCAGAGCCCAGCUUGAAUCCAUCCCUUUGACUUGGGGGAAGCACCGCCCUGCUUUGGCCUCACUUCGGGGGCCAAAUAUUUCAAUUAUGAGGACGUGGUCAAGCCCUGCCCACUCCAGCCUCAGUGACGGGCCGUGAAGAGAGGGUGUCUCUGGGGGGAGAGGUGGGCGGGAUGCAGAGGGAGCCGCAGACGGGAGAGGGGACGGGGGCUGAGCGGGGGUUGGCAGAGCAGACAGGCCUUCUCCGCUGGCUGAGAACAAAACCACCGGCAGCGAGGAAAAUAUGUGCGAGGCAUUUUUGCAAUUCCAAGAGGCUCGGUCCAGCUCUCGCCCAGACGGUCAAUGAAUCAAAGCUGGGAAAGGCUCUACCUGUCAGCAGACUUUCUCCUGGCCCUGCUCACCAAGGCCCCACCCCUCUGGCCCCAGCAGGCCAGCUGGAACCCUCCCAGUUCCCCAGAAGGACGGUUCUUCGAAGAAGAGUGUGUCACAAGCAAAAGCCAGAGGCAGGCAGCCCACGGGCAGAACCCUUGGCAUCCUUCUCUGCCUGUUCUUCUCGCAGGAGCGUAGCCUGUGUCGCCUGUUACCUUGGGUUGAAUGGUGGCUCCCGAAAAGAUAUUUCCACGUCCUGGUCCUUGGAACCUGUGAAGGUGUCCUUAUUUGGAAACAGAAUCUUUGCAGAUUAAUUAAGUUAAAGAUCUCGAGGUGAGAGCAUCCCAGAUUAUCUGAGUGAGCCCCAAAUCCAAGGACAAGUGUCCCUAUAAGAGACAAAGAGGAAAGAAGAGGAGAAGACCAUGGGAAGGUGGAGGCCGAAAUCGGAGUGAUGCGGCCACAAGCCAAGGAAUGCCUGGGGCCACCAGAAGCUGGAAGAGGAGGAUCCUGUCCCCAGCCCACAGCAGGCCUGUCUGGCCUGACCCCAGCGGCCAGGCUGGAGGACCAGGAGGGCUGUGCUCUAUGGGCUUCCUGCGGAGGCAGCUCAGACCCCCUGGGCUGGCCAGCAACUGGGAGCAAAAUGGGCCAGAGGCUCACUCCCACCCGCCUGACCCGGACGUCCUGGAGCCUCAGAGACUCACAGCUUCAGAGAUAGGAGAGUUUUUGUGGGAAUCCAGGCCCAGAGAGGAGCAGCGGCUUACUUGAGGGAAUACAGCCAGGACUCAGCCCAGAAUCACCUACUCCAGGAAGCCUUACUGGAUUGCCUUUCCCUUUGCUCCAGCUCCCCAUCCCCAGACAUUUCUAUGAAUGAGAUCAAAGAAUAUGCGGACUUUUGUGACUGGCUUCUUUCACUUAGAAUAACAUUUUCAAGGUUCAUCUAUGUUGUGCCACCCGAGCAGGUGUGGAGUGGGGAGCUUCACACCUUUUCAUUGCCAGGCAGCAAGGCGUGGUGACGGAGCCCUGAAGACAGACCCAGGGCUGGAAGCCCAACUCUUCACUUCUGUUGGGUCUUUCUGCCUCGCUGAGCCUCAUCAUUCUCUUCUGUGGAAUGGAACCACAGCACGUGGAUGAGAGACAGUGAAUGUAAGGUGUUUAGCAUAGUUGCUGGCAUACAACACAUGCUCAAUAAAUGUGAACUAUAAUAACAGCUACAGUGCUCACUCCAAAAACCUUGCACAGUUUCUGGCACACCGUAGGCCCUCGUGGGUGUGGGUGGAGUAACUGAUGGCAAGUGUGCCCCGGGAAGGGCGCCAGCUGAGGGCCUGGGCAGGCCUGGAGGGGGCCCUGGGAGGAGCUCACAGCCUCUGGCUCAGGGGCCCCUUGGCCAGAGCCCUGUCCAGCCCAGCUCUUGUCUGGCAUGGGGAGCAGUUUUAUUUCUACAGGCGUUUUGCGACUCAGCACAUGUAAGCUUCCUCCUGAUGGUUUGAAUUAGAAAGCAGCUGAUGCCUUCUGGAAAACCCAGGGAAAAACAUUAUUGUUGGAGGCCAGUCUCCUCAUUGGCAGAGCCGACUGCACUGGUCUGGCAUUCCGGAGCACAAAAGCCUUCGCCGGCAAAAUCGGAGCCUUCCCAUCGGGGCUCCCCUCCUCUCCGCCCUCCCUCUCAUCCAGCCCUGGCUGGGCCUGGCAAGUGCUGGCUGCCGGAUGGGAGUCAGGACAAGAAUCCUCUGGCUGUCUAGGCCCGUCCACUCCAGCAGCAAGUUGGUGGACGAGGUCUGACUCAACUCCCAGCCUGGCAAAUGUCUGGGGUCUGGCGUGCAGACGAAGGUGGUACCCACUGCAGGGAACAGGGCCAGGAGGAAGGUGGCAACAGGCUGGCUAGACACGGAGAUCGGAAAAGGAGAGAGUGUUACUGCUCUUAUUGGACGAAUGAGGAAACUGAGGCUCAGAGAGGUGAUGUCAGCUGCCCACGGUCACAGAGCCAGCAAGUGGUAGCCUGAGGACUAGACCCCAGGCCUGCUCUGAGGCCCACCUUGCCUUUUUGCACUGAGAAUGGGGGUAAAAGCACUUUGUGAACCAAAAGGCAUGGUAUACCUGGGAGGGUUUUAAAUACCAUUCCUAUUGCUGUUUUCCUGGGGAGGUGGUCAGAAGCUGGCAUGGCCUCCCCUCCAGCCGGCCAUCGGCCUUGCUGCAGCUUCUGCUUGGUCACCAACAGUUCGAGCCACAUGACCAGGGCUGCCUUAUCUCCUCGAGGGUGGCAGGCCCCUGUUCCCAGAAGCCCGGCUUCAGAUGGGCAGCAGCGAUUGUAGAGAUCUGCAGGGCCCCGAUAAAGCCGCUGCAGCAGGGGACAGACGGAUGGAAGUUCCCCUCAUGCCACUUCCUUCAGUGGCUGGUAUGGCCCCAGCUCCUUAAGCUCUUCCACUUCCUCACAAGGAUAGGGGCCCGGAGUGGCCAACAGAGCUCAGUGGGGUUCAGUCCCCAGUAACCCGCCCCCAUUCCUGGCAUCCCCCCUUCACGGCCCUGGGUCUAGGACCCUGGCCAUGAGGGUGCUCUUGUCUCCACCCCAGGGAGUGUUGGGACGAGCAGACGAGGUGACACUCGAUGUGCACGCGAGAGGCUGACGCUCUUUAUCCAUCUCCCCAGUCCGUGUGCCUUAGCCAUGUUGUCCCUCUUCUUUUCUGUGAUCUUUCCAAACCCUGCCCCUCCUAUAAGGGUGAGUCUGAAUGUCACCUUCUCCCCAAAGCUGUCCUGGACCUCCUCUGGCCUGUCACCUCCUGUGCUUCCUCUCGCAGCAUUGGAAUCGGCCCCUUCAGAGAAUAAAAGGACGGGAAGGAUGGCUAUCCACGUGCUGAGCCACAAAUGACUUUGACACUUUUCCCCUGCUGUGUAUGUGUUUGCGUCCCAUCUUUUCUGCACUGUGCAUAAUUUCCUUGUAUAAUUAGAAAAGAAUUCCAAAUAAAUGCUAUUGUCGAGAAGGAUCUGCUCCACUUGGUGGAACGCUUCAUUGAAACCAUGAGCCUUGCGUCUGUCAGUGCUGCGUUGACCGUGGUGGUCCAGGCAGUGGGUCUUACACCUGAUGCCCUGUGCACACCCACUCACCAUGGGACACGGAGCAGCAAUUCAUUCCCUUCGGGUGUGACUCUCACGAACUCACCAGCCUCACCUUUGUCCGCUCCAGCCCCGGGGACAUCCACCACUAUCUGUUGGAGGUGUCCCCGGAGUCCUCACCCACUCUCCCAUUUCCAAGGUCCAAGAUGCUGUCACAGUGCAGCUCAAAUUCCAUCUCCUCUGGGCUUCCUGGCCAUGCCUGCCCUGAGCCCGGCUCCUUCUUGGCCUCAGGUUGCUGAUUAACUGCCUCCCCCGCUAGACCGUAAGUUCCUUAGGAACAGGGGACACAUCCCACACCUCCCCGCCUCCCAGCGCCUGGCAUGGAGCCCGGCACACAGCAGAGCAGGUGCUCAGGAAGAAGUCGAGUGCAGGAACCCUAAGAGUGAUGAUCACGGUUAUGAUGAUGGCAGCCACUGUUUCCCGGACACUGACCUUGAACCUCCACCGCUCAGCUCGUUACCUGGAUUAUGUCAUGUAACCCCCAGCAACCUAGAGACUCAGGUGCUGAUAAGUGCAUCUUACAGAGGAGAAAAGGCAACCGUGAAAGGAAGGCCUGGACAUCAGACUGUGUGCUGGGGGCGGGAUGCUGGGGUGGCGAACCACCUCCUCCUGCCUUAGUUUCCUCUGCUGUACAGGGGCCUGACACCUGUGCUCCUUUCCUCCCUCCAGGGGGCUGUCGGGGUCGAACAGGACAGCGAGCACGUCAUCGAGUGCAAACAGCUGCAUAAAUGCAUGGCGUGGUGGA